GCAAUCUGAAACUCGCACGCCAGAACCGGACGGUCUUUCUGAGUCUGCUCGGGAUUUCCUGGUUGUGGUUCGUCGGCGCGACGUUUCUGUCGUCGUUCUUCCGCUUUGCGAAGGACGUGCUG
The sequence is a small RNA, 122 nucleotides long. It matches the Rfam family "Burkholderia RNA 11". Rfam says of the family: Co-purified with Hfq, expression confirmed by Northern blot. Predicted target marZ. The record is from Rfam.